GAUGAACGCUGGCGGCGUGCCUAAUACAUGCAAGUCGAGCGAACGGACGAGAAGCUUGCUUUUCUGAUGUUAGCGGCGGACGGGUGAGUAACACGUGGAUAACCUACCUAUAAGACUGGGAUAACUUCGGGAAACCGGAGCUAAUACCGGAUAAUAUUUUGAACCGCAUGGUUCAAAAGUGAAAGACGGUCUUGCUGUCACUUAUAGAUGGAUCCGCGCUGCAUUAGCUAGUUGGUAAGGUAACGGCUUACCAAGGCAACGAUGCAUAGCCGGCCUGAGAGGGUGAUCAGCCACACUGGAACUGAGACACGGUCCAGACUCCUACGGGAGGCAGCAGUAGGGAAUCUUCCGCAAUGGGCGAAAGCCUGACGGAGCAACGCCGCGUGAGUGAUGAAGGUCUUCGGAUCGUAAAACUCUGUUAUUAGGGAAGAACAUAUGUGUAAGUAACUGUGCACAUCUUGACGGUACCUAAUCAGAAAGCCACGGCUAACUACGUG
RNAcentral lists this ribosomal RNA (497 nucleotides) under uncultured bacterium. RNAcentral's name for it is "partial 16S ribosomal RNA". It matches the Rfam family "Bacterial small subunit ribosomal RNA", at positions 28 to 507 of the family's 1533-position model. The record is from RNAcentral.